AGUGAACGCUGGCGGUAGGCCUAACACAUGCAAGUCGAACGGCAGCACAGUAAGAGCUUGCUCUUACGGGUGGCGAGUGGCGGACGGGUGAGGAAUACAUCGGAAUCUACUUUUUCGUGGGGGAUAACGUAGGGAAACUUACGCUAAUACCGCAUACGACAUACGGGUGAAAGCAGGGGAUCUUCGGACCUUGCGCGAUUGAAUGAGCCGAUGUCGGAUUAGCUAGUUGGCGGGGUAAAGGCCCACCAAGGCGACGAUCCGUAGCUGAUCUGAGAGGAUGAUCAGCCACACUGGAACUGAGACACGGUCCAGACUCCUACGGGAGGCAGCAGUGGGGAAUAUUGGACAAUGGGCGCAAGCCUGAUCCAGCCAUACCGCGUGAGUGAAGAAGGCCUUCGGGUUGUAAAGCCCUUUUGUUGGGAAAGAAAAGCAGCAGGUUAAUACCCCGCUGUUCUGACGGUACCCAAAGAAUAAGCACCGGCUAACUUCGUG
RNAcentral lists this ribosomal RNA (492 nucleotides) under uncultured bacterium. RNAcentral's name for it is "partial 16S ribosomal RNA". It matches the Rfam family "Bacterial small subunit ribosomal RNA", at positions 29 to 507 of the family's 1533-position model. The record is from RNAcentral.